RNAcentral lists this ribosomal RNA (492 nucleotides) under uncultured bacterium. RNAcentral describes it as "partial 16S ribosomal RNA". It matches the Rfam family "Bacterial small subunit ribosomal RNA", at positions 28 to 507 of the family's 1533-position model. The record is from RNAcentral.
GAUGAACGCUCGCUACAGGCUUAACACAUGCAAGUCGAGGGGAAACGACAUCGAAAGCUUGCUUUUGAUGGGCAUCGACCGGCGCACGGGUGAGUAACGCGUAUCCAACCUGCCCAUCACUUGGGAAUAACCUUGCGAAAGUAAGACUAAUACCCAAUGAUAUCCCACGAAGGCAUCGGAAUGGGAUUAAAGAUUUAUCGGUGAUGGAUGGGGAUGCGUCUGAUUAGCUUGUUGGCGGGGUAACGGCCCACCAAGGCAACGAUCAGUAGGGGUUCUGAGAGGAAGGUCCCCCACAUUGGAACUGAGACACGGUCCAAACUCCUACGGGAGGCAGCAGUGAGGAAUAUUGGUCAAUGGGCGAGAGCCUGAACCAGCCAAGUAGCGUGCAGGAAGACGGCCCUAUGGGUUGUAAACUGCUUUUAUAAGGGAAUAAAGUGGGUCACGUGUGACUUUUUGCAUGUACCUUAUGAAUAAGGACCGGCUAAUUCCGUG